Molecule: long non-coding RNA, 192 nt
Organism: Sinocyclocheilus rhinocerous
Lineage: Eukaryota; Metazoa; Chordata; Actinopteri; Cypriniformes; Cyprinidae
Exons: 2
Source: RefSeq, a predicted model, not a curated record
CUUCAUCGGGUUGUAACGCCUACAAGAAGCCAACAGUCUUCACUCGUGUGUCUGCAUACAUCAGCUGGAUUAGUGGCAUCAUUGGAUAAGGAGGAAACCUGAAAGGAUGAAAGACAAACAUCCUCCAUUUACCAAGCUUUAACAUCUGCAAUGGCCAAAAAUACAUACAGUAAACUUUACCUCUAAUCUUGG